Long non-coding RNA from Gorilla gorilla gorilla (western lowland gorilla), 588 nucleotides. RefSeq lists it as uncharacterized. The transcript has 3 exons. The record is from RefSeq and is a predicted model, not a curated record. NCBI's taxonomy places the organism in Eukaryota, Metazoa, Chordata, Mammalia, Primates, Hominidae.
GGGCUUAGUGAGAAGAGAGAAACAGGCAACAAACAAGAUGAAUGUCAUAGAGAUCUACACAGAAUUCAAUAGGCUGCUAUGAUAGCAAGUGGCUGGCUGUUUCUUGGUCUGUGCUGAGCAGACAAACGCAGCCUCUCUGAGGAAAGGUAUUUACGGCCUGGCCACCCGUGAACCAGCAACACCAUGGAAGGGAGCAUCCACAGGAAUCUGUGCUGUGACGGGCAGAAAGGAGGCUGAUUUCCUACCUCUCGAACAGACUGGGUGAGAGCAACUGGAUUCAUUCCUGGUGACUGCCUGUGAGGGCAGUGCAGUGUGUACACAUCCCAAGAACAGAUUAUAGCUCUGACUUUAUGACGAAAUAUCUUCUGAUUGUUGAAGAAGACACCACCAACACAUUGACUAUCAGGAAAGUAUGGCACCUCUAGAUCAUUCUACCGGCACUGAUGACGUCUCCCCCAACAACAUCUCCACGGAAGAAUUCCUCAAGAUUCUUCAGAACUUCUGGCUCCUACUUCUCUAGCUUUGUUUGGGUAAUUUCUUUCAUACUGAGAAAGAUAAAUUUCAAUAAAAUCAUACUCAAUGAAACCA